This 252-nucleotide ribosomal RNA is filed under the name uncultured bacterium. RNAcentral describes it as "partial 16S ribosomal RNA". It matches the Rfam family "Bacterial small subunit ribosomal RNA", at positions 524 to 776 of the family's 1533-position model. The record is from RNAcentral.
UACGUAGGUGGCAAGCGUUAUCCGGAUUUAUUGGGCGUAAAGGGAACGCAGGCGGUCUUUUAAGUCUGAUGUAAAAAGCAGUGGCUCAACCAUUGUAUGCAUUGGAAACUGGUAGACUUGAGUGCAGGAGAGGAGAGUGGAAUUCCAUGUGUAGCGGUGAAAUGCGUAGAUAUAUGGAGGAACACCGGUGGCGAAAGCGGCUCUCUGGCCUGUAACUGACACUGAGGCUCGAAAGCGUGGGGAGCAAACAGG